Molecule: ribosomal RNA, 514 nt
Filed under: uncultured bacterium
Lineage: Bacteria
Description: partial 16S ribosomal RNA
Rfam family: Bacterial small subunit ribosomal RNA
Source: RNAcentral
GAUGAACGCUGGCGGCGUGCCUAAUACAUGCAAGUCGAGCGAAUGGAUUAAGAGCUUGCUCUUAUGAAGUUAGCGGCGGACGGGCGAGUAACACGUGGGUAACCUGCCCAUAAGACUGGGAUAACUCCGGGAAACCGGGGCUAAUACCGGAUAACAUUUUGAACCGCAUGGUUCGAAAUUGAACGGCGGCUUCGGCUGUCACUUAUGGAGGGACCCGCGUCGCAUUAGCUAGUUGGUGAGGUAACGGCUCACCAAGGCAACGAUGCGUAGCCGACCUGAGAGGGUGAUCGGCCACACUGGGACUGAGACACGGCCCAGACUCCUACGGGAGGCAGCAGUAGGGAAUCUUCCGCAAUGGACGAAAGUCUGACGGAGCAACGCCGCGUGAGUGAUGAAGGCUUUCGGGUCGUAAAACUCUGUUGUUAGGGAGAACAAGUGCUAGUUGAAUAAGCUGGCACCUUGACGGUACCUAACCAGAAAGCCACGGCUAACUACAUGCCAGCAGCCGCAGUAA